UGGGGAAUUUUGGACAAUGGGGGCAACCCUGAUCCAGCCAUGCUGCGUGAGUGAAGAAGGCCUUCGGGUUGUAAAGCUCUUUCGGACAGAAAGAAAUCGCACGGGAUAACACCCUGUGUGGAUGACGGUACUGUAAGAAGAAGCACCGGCUAACUACGUGCCAGCAGCCGCGGUAAUACGUAGGGUGCGAGCGUUAAUCGGAAUUACUGGGCGUAAAGCGUGCGCAGGCGGUUUAUUAAGACAGAUGUGAAAUCCCCGGGCUCAACCUGGGAACUGCAUAUGUGACUGGUAGGCUAGAGUGUAGCAGAGGGGGGUAGAAUUCCACGUGUAGCAGUGAAAUGCGUAGAGAUGUGGAGGGAUACCGAUGGCGAAGGCAGCCCCCUGGGUUAACACUGACGCUCAUGCACGAAAGCGUGGGGAGCAAACAGGAUUAGAUACCCUGGUAGUCCACGCCCUAAACGAUGUCAACUAGGUGUUGGGGGAGGAGACUUCCUUAGUACCGCAGCUAACGCGUGAAGUUGACCGCCUGGGGAGUACGGCCGCAAGGUUG
This 550-nucleotide ribosomal RNA is filed under the name uncultured bacterium. RNAcentral describes it as "bacterial SSU rRNA". It matches the Rfam family "Bacterial small subunit ribosomal RNA", at positions 355 to 896 of the family's 1533-position model. The record is from RNAcentral.